Molecule: long non-coding RNA, 644 nt
Organism: Lacerta agilis (Sand lizard)
Lineage: Eukaryota; Metazoa; Chordata; Lepidosauria; Squamata; Lacertidae
Exons: 4
Source: RefSeq, a predicted model, not a curated record
GCCCUCGCUGGGGCUGUUAUCGGGUCUCUGGCUGCAAUACUGGUGCUGAUGGGAACCCUGACUUACCUCUUUCUCCGUGCCCGUCAUCGGAAUGGCAGAACUUCUUCUCUGGUUGUACCUACCCCUCAGGUAUAUGAGAAUGAUCCACCAUCUGGACAAACAAAACCUCAAGUUAAGCCCGAAAGCUCCUCCAAGGCCAACAACAUAUAUGAGACCUUGCAGCCCAGAAUCCAGUCUGUCUACGAAGAGAUGAAGAGAUAAGAGUUGGACCCAGCAACUUCCUCUCCACUGCUGAGGCCUCUCCCGGGCUUUCAAGCCUCUUUCCUGUUCGGAUCUCUUCCUUUCAGCUGCAGCCGAGUAACUGUAAGGACCAGGACAUUUUCUCUGCAGGGCCAGGUCCUUCUGGAAAUCCUAGUCCUCGUUCUGAAGAAAAGAGCUAGCCUUGGUCCCCAAGGGACUCUCCUGUUGGGAAAGACUUGCAGAUACUGAGACAGAGACACAAAGGAAGUUUUCCCUGGAAAGGCCAAACAGAAUUGCAUCUCGUGAGACUAAAGGAUUAACGCUGAGCAGGCGAGGAAUCGCCAUGAAAAUUCAUCAACCUUUUUGUGUACACCUCUCCUAAUAAACACAUUUUUGUAUGCAUU